Molecule: long non-coding RNA, 2724 nt
Filed under: Sus scrofa (pig)
Lineage: Eukaryota; Metazoa; Chordata; Mammalia; Artiodactyla; Suidae
Description: lncRNA (ENSSSCG00040057876.1, ENSSSCG00055003484.1, ENSSSCG00065071576.1)
Source: RNAcentral
GGGGGAGCAGCCCUUUCAAAUGGGUGAUCGGUGGGUGGUGCACUUUCUAGCUGAGCCCCCAGGGACAAGAGGAAACCAGCCAUACCAAGAGCUGGGCAAGACCACUCUGGGCAGAGGGAAUGGAAGGUGUGAAACUCCUGGAGUUGAAAUGAACUGGAGAAACAGAAAGCUGUUGUUGGAACUUAGUAAAUGAGGGAGAGUUCGUAGCAAGAGGUUCUUAUUCUGGGGGUCCGGGAGGGGUUUUAAUAUCAAUGGACCACUUGUCAUUCUCUGCAAAAGAUGGUUAUCUGGGCAUGUCAUUUGGCCCCUGGAUUACAUCACUCCAAAGGAGUUAGCAAGCCCAUCUGGCCUGCAGGAGAGAAGGGGACAUUGAAAGGGGAGUGGCCAUUCAUAUUUACAUGCCCAUGAUAUGCAUCGUUGAAACUAACACCCCUCCCAAAAUAGACAAGAGUAGAGAUGGUGCUCAGAGAGGACAAGCAACUUGCCCAGGGCCACACAGCCUGGACUUGAACCCAGUCUGUCCUUCCCCCCAAUUCCCUGCACCACAGUGAGUCAGCAGAAAGACUGUACUUGGAUCUUAGGUCCUCUGCUUCUGGGUUCUUCUGACUUUCUUGAAGAAAACCAGAAUGUCUUCUUCAUCCAUGGCCCCAUGAUAUAUUGUGGCGGGGGGAGGAGGCGUUGGAGAGGUCGUGAGUUUUUGCAGACUGGUGAAUUGUCUGCAAAAUAUUGUGUCUUGGUGUUUUUAGUGGGGAGCAGAGCUGUGCUUCCAUGAUCUUCUCUAAAGAGCAUUUGACACCCUAAUGAUUAAGAACUUCAAAGUCUUCUGGGGGCAAAUAGAAAAUUGUCUGCCUCCUGUCCCCCUUGCAUCUCUCCUUAAAUGCAUGGCCAUGAUUUGUCUGCAGCUUCUGUCUCUGGGAUCCUGCUAACCUCUCCGCACACCCUCCUCUUGGGGCAUGGAGGCAGCAGGUAGGUAGGAAGGAGGUCUAGGUACUCAUCCAGUUUGUAACUCUAACCAUGUGACCUUGGCAAGUCCCAGUCUCCAUCAUGGAGGACACUUGGUGGCAAAGGACAAAAUGUUCAACUCUAGCUGGCUGAAAUAACAGAAGGAUAAUCAGCAUAUAUACUUUGACGUUAAGGGUCAGGCUGCAGGUGUGGCUGGAUCCAGACAGGAGAUUAGUGGUUGCUGGGGGCUGAGGAGGGAAUGGGAGUGACUGCUAAGGGCAUAGGGUUUCCUUUGGCAUUGAAGAAUAUGUCCUGGAAAAACUAGAGGUGAUAAUUGUUCUACAUUGGGAAGGUUCUAGAUGCCUCUGAAUUGUACCCUUUACCAUGGUUAAUGGUUAGUUUUAUGUUAUGUGAAUUUUACCUUAAUUAAAAUUUAAUAAAAUCUCCCAGAGUCACACUUGGCUGGUGUUAGGUCAUUCCUCUCCUCCCCUCUCAACCAAUCCCAGUAGCCAGAAGGACGCAGCCCUUUGACUGGCUGGGCUUGGGCACGUGCUUCCUCUGUGGAGGGAGGGGAGCCUCACUCUGGCUAUGGGUCUGAAUAGGGAGAAGAGGGAGCCAGUCACAGUUUAAUUCCUCUCAAACCUUAUGCCCUGUCAUGAGUUGGUAUCCUCCCAGAAAGGCUGACAGUUGAAAACUCACACAAAGGUGACAUAUGGGCUCACAUUAGCACUGGAGGGAGCCCUCAAAUCAGGAACUAUUGCCAAAAAAAUGGGGGGAGGAUGAUGCUCAGAGGGAGAGAAUCACAAAUGUCCAGUGUAGUGCCCUUUUCUAGGGGGAAAAGCUUUGUUGCACAUAUUUUUGGUCUGCUCCAAAGCCAUUCCUAUCCCCCCAUUGCCUAUGGGAUAAGGGUCUAGUGCCUCACUGUGAUAUUCAAGGUCUGCUCUGAGUUGACAUUAAUCUGGGGUAGGUCUGCAACACCCCACUAGGCUCAGUUUGGUCUUAUUCAGUAUCACUCUUUGUGGCUAUCAGGAAACUAGGAGGUACAAGGAACAUGCUGGAAGCCAGAAAGAGGAUUUAAAAAAUAAAAAAUCUGGAAAGUCUGAACCAUCAAAAGGUGAAAUGUAGGAGAAAUAAAUGCCCAAGUCCUCCCUUUGGGUGCAAAUAAACUGAGUCACUAGAGGGCGGUAGAGACCUAACGUCACAGUUAGUUACAGCCGGGAAGCUAGACUCCCCAAGUCCAAAAUGUUACUUUCUAGUCGGUGGGGCUUGUGUAUCAAUUUCAUCAUUUGUAACAUCAGGAUAACAUGUAGCAAUCAUGCAUUCUGGCAAAUGCUCAAUUUACUAUUUACUUUUUGUUUCUUUGAAUCUACUGCCUUUGCUGGCACUAAGUUAUUUAAAUAGGAAACAUUGUGUCACUUCCAGAAGAUCAAAAAUAACCACAAAACUAGAUACAGUAACAGCAAAAAGUGUUAUUAACUGCAGCUCAGUGAUUCUCUCUUUCCUUUUUUUUUUUUUUUGUCUGUGCCUGAAGCAUGUGGAAAUUCCCCAGUCAGGGAUUGAACACUCUCCACAGGAGUGACCCUGGUGGUGACAACGCCAAAUCCUUAAUCCGAUGUAGGUCACAGAUGCGGCUCCGAUCCCGUGUUACUGUGACUCUGGCAUAGGCUAGUGGCUACAGCUCUGAUUUGACCCCUAGCCUGGGAACUUCCAUAUGCCACAGGAGCGGCCCAAGAAAUGACAAAGAAGGAAAGAAAGAAAGAAAGAAAGAAAGAAAGAAAGAAA